GGAAGUAGAUAUGUAUAGGGGGAAGGAGACAGGGAUACUGGAGUGAUGGAGGUAGACAUGUAUAGGGGGAAGGAGACAGGGAUACUGGAGUGAUGGAGGUAGAUAUGUAUAGGGGGAAGGAGACAGGGAUACUGGAGUGAUGGAGGUAGAUAUGUAUAGGGGGAAGGGGCCAGGGAUACUGGAGUGAUGGAGGUAGAUAUGUAUAGGGGGAAGGAGACAGGGAUACUGGAGUGAUGGAGGUAGAUAUGGAUGUCUAUUUAAAACAGAUUGUUAUAUACAAGCAUUUCACUACACCCACAAUAACAUCUACUAAACACUUGUCUGUGACCAAUGAAAUUGUAUUUGAUUUAUUUAUAGGGGUAAGGGGACUAGGCAUCAGGAUAUAUGAUAAACCUAUUCCCCCUCAGGAAACUAAAAAGAUUUGGCAUGGGUCCUGAGAUCCUCAAAAGGUUCUACAGCUGCACCAUCGAGAGCAUCCUGGUUGCAUCACUGCCUCGUAUGGCAACUGCUCAGCCUCUGACCGCAAGGCAUUACAGAGGGUAGUGCGUACGGCCCAGUACAUCACCAGGGUCAAAACUCCUGCCAUCCACGACCUCUAUACCAGGCGGUGUCAGAGGAAGGCCCUAAAAAUUGUCAAAGACCCCAGGUACCCCAGUCAUAGACUGUUCUCUCUACUACCGCAUGGCAAGCGGUAUCGGUGCGCCAAGUCUAGGACAAAAAAGCUUCUCAACCAUUUUUAACCCCAAGACUCCUGAACAGGUAAUCAAAUGGACUAUUUGCA
Oncorhynchus tshawytscha (Chinook salmon) is the source of this 781-nucleotide long non-coding RNA. The record is from Ensembl. NCBI's taxonomy places the organism in Eukaryota, Metazoa, Chordata, Actinopteri, Salmoniformes, Salmonidae.